Molecule: ribosomal RNA, 468 nt
Filed under: uncultured bacterium
Lineage: Bacteria
Description: partial 16S ribosomal RNA
Rfam family: Bacterial small subunit ribosomal RNA
Source: RNAcentral
GACGAACGCUGGCGGCGUGCUUAACACAUGCAAGUCGAACGGAAAGGCCCUGCUUUUGUGGGGUGCUCGAGUGGCGAACGGGUGAGUAACACGUGAGUAACCUGCCCUUGACUUUGGGAUAACUUCAGGAAACUGGGGCUAAUACCGGAUAGGAGCUCCUGCUGCAUGGUGGGGGUUGGAAAGUUUCGGCGGUUGGGGAUGGACUCGCGGCUUAUCAGCUUGUUGGUGGGGUAGUGGCUUACCAAGGCCUUGACGGGUAGCCGGCCUGAGAGGGUGACCGGCCACAUUGGGACUGGGAUACGGCCCAGACUCCUACGGGAGGCAGCAGUGGGGAAUAUUGCACAAUGGGCGGAAGCCUGAUGCAGCAACGCCGCGUGCGGGAUGACGGCCUUCGGGUUGUAAACCGCUUUCGCCUGUGACGAAGCGUGAGUGGCGGUAAUGGGUAGAGAAGCACCGGCUAACUACGUG